This 2313-nucleotide ribosomal RNA is filed under the name Listeria monocytogenes. Its description in RNAcentral is "partial 23S ribosomal RNA". It matches the Rfam family "Bacterial large subunit ribosomal RNA", at positions 619 to 2925 of the family's 2925-position model. The record is from RNAcentral. Lineage: Bacteria; Bacillati; Bacillota; Bacilli; Caryophanales; Listeriaceae.
ACCGGCGAGUUACGAUUUGUUGCAAGGUUAAGCGGAAAAAGCGGAGCCGUAGCGAAAGCGAGUCUGAAUAGGGCGCAUAAGUAACAGGUCGUAGACCCGAAACCAGGUGAUCUACCCAUGUCCAGGAUGAAGGUAAGGUAAUACUUACUGGAGGUCCGAACCCACGCACGUUGAAAAGUGCGGGGAUGAGGUGUGGGUAGCGGAGAAAUUCCAAUCGAACUUGGAGAUAGCUGGUUCUCUCCGAAAUAGCUUUAGGGCUAGCCUCGAGGUAAAGAGUCAUGGAGGUAGAGCACUGUUUGGACUAGGGGCCCUUCUCGGGUUACCGAAUUCAGAUAAACUCCGAAUGCCAUGUACUUAUACUCGGGAGUCAGACUGCGAGUGAUAAGAUCCGUAGUCGAAAGGGAAACAGCCCAGACCACCAGUUAAGGUCCCCAAAUAUAUGUUAAGUGGAAAAGGAUGUGGGGUUGCUUAGACAACCAGGAUGUUGGCUUAGAAGCAGCCACCAUUGAAAGAGUGCGUAAUAGCUCACUGGUCGAGUGACCCCGCGCCGAAAAUGUACCGGGGCUAAACAUAUUACCGAAACUGUGGAUGAACCUCUUUAGAGGUUCGUGGUAGGAGAGCGUUCUAAGGGCGGUGAAGUCAGACCGGAAGGACUGGUGGAGCGCUUAGAAGUGAGAAUGCCGGUAUGAGUAGCGAAAGAAGGGUGAGAAUCCCUUCCACCGAAUAUCUAAGGUUUCCUGAGGAAGGCUCGUCCGCUCAGGGUUAGUCGGGACCUAAGCCGAGGCCGAUAGGCGUAGGCGAUGGACAACAGGUAGAGAUUCCUGUACCAGUGCUAAUUGUUUAACCGAUGGGGUGACACAGAAGGAUAGGGAAUCGCACGAAUGGAAAUGUGCGUCCAAGCAGUGAGUGUGAGAAGUAGGCAAAUCCGCUUCUCGCGAAGCAUGAGCUGUGAUGGGGAAGGAAAUUAAGUACGGAAGUUCCUGAUUUCACGCUGUCAAGAAAAGCCUCUAGGAAGAGUAGUACUGCCCGUACCGCAAACCGACACAGGUAGAUGAGGAGAGAAUCCUAAGGUGAGCGAGAGAACUCUCGUUAAGGAACUCGGCAAAAUGACCCCGUAACUUCGGGAGAAGGGGUGCUCUAUUAGGGUGCAAGCCCGAGAGAGCCGCAGUGAAUAGGCCCAGGCGACUGUUUAGCAAAAACACAGGUCUCUGCAAAACCGUAAGGUGACGUAUAGGGGCUGACGCCUGCCCGGUGCUGGAAGGUUAAGAGGAGUGCUUAGCUUCGGCGAAGGUACGAAUUGAAGCCCCAGUAAACGGCGGCCGUAACUAUAACGGUCCUAAGGUAGCGAAAUUCCUUGUCGGGUAAGUUCCGACCCGCACGAAAGGCGCAACGAUCUGGGCACUGUCUCAACGAGAGACUCGGUGAAAUUAUAGUACCUGUGAAGAUGCAGGUUACCCGCGACAGGACGGAAAGACCCCGUGGAGCUUUACUGCAACCUGAUAUGGAAUGUUUGUACCGCUUGUACAGGAUAGGUAGGAGCCGAAGAGACGUGUGCGCUAGCAUACGAGGAGGCAAUGGUGGGAUACUACCCUGGCUGUAUGACCAUUCUAACCCGCCACGCUUAGCGCGUGGGGAGACAGUGUCAGGUGGGCAGUUUGACUGGGGCGGUCGCCUCCUAAAGAGUAACGGAGGCGCCCAAAGGUUCCCUCAGAAUGGAUGGAAAUCAUUCGCAGAGUGUAAAGGCACAAGGGAGCUUGACUGCGAGACUGACAAGUCGAGCAGGGACGAAAGUCGGGCUUAGUGAUCCGGUGGUUCCGCAUGGAAGGGCCAUCGCUCAACGGAUAAAAGCUACCCCGGGGAUAACAGGCUUAUCUCCCCCAAGAGUCCACAUCGACGGGGAGGUUUGGCACCUCGAUGUCGGCUCGUCGCAUCCUGGGGCUGUAGUCGGUCCCAAGGGUUGGGCUGUUCGCCCAUUAAAGCGGCACGCGAGCUGGGUUCAGAACGUCGUGAGACAGUUCGGUCCCUAUCCGUCGCGGGCGCAGGAAAUUUGAGAGGAGCUGUCCUUAGUACGAGAGGACCGGGAUGGACACACCGCUGGUGUACCAGUUGUUCCGCCAGGAGCAUCGCUGGGUAGCUAUGUGUGGCAGGGAUAAACGCUGAAAGCAUCUAAGCGUGAAGCCCCCCUCAAGAUGAGAUUUCCCAUUUCUUCGGAAAGUAAGAUCCCUGAAAGAUGAUCAGGUAGAUAGGUUUGGAGUGGAAGUGUAGCGAUACAUGGAGCGGACAAAUACUAAUCGAUCGAGGACUUAACCAAAA